GGACCAGUGUCAGCAGACUGUUGCCGCCUGAUAGCCUGAUAGCUCAAAGAAGGGAAAAGUUGAUCCUUUUGUUUUCUGUGAUUUCUACCUGGACAAGGCCUGGUACUAUACCCACAGAUAGGAGACAAAUUGGAUAUUAUUUGCCCAAAAGUGGACUCUAAAACUGUUGGCCAGUGUGAGUAUUAUAAAGUUUAUGUGGUUGAUAAAGACCAAGCAGACAGAUGCAUUAUUAAGAAGAAAAAAAAAAACCCUGUUCAACUGUUCCCGACCACACUGAGAUGUGAAAUUUACCAUCAAGUUUCAAGAAUUCAGCAACAGCAUCUGGGGUUUAGAAUUUCAGAAGAACAAAGAUUAUUACAUCAUAUGUAAGUGUAAUUCUCUCUCUUUAUUUUGUAGGCAUUGGGAUAAGCUAACUAGGUUUGUAUUGAUUUCUGUUUCCUUUAAAUUAACAUGGUAAAUCAUUUGUUAAGAAGCUUUGUUCUUUUUGUUUUUUCAAAAUAAAUUAAUUGAAAAUUGGGA
Molecule: non-coding RNA, 519 nt
Organism: Cricetulus griseus (Chinese hamster)
Lineage: Eukaryota; Metazoa; Chordata; Mammalia; Rodentia; Cricetidae
Source: RefSeq, a predicted model, not a curated record